UAGCUUAGUGGUCAAAGCAUUGGCGCGUAAAGCCAAAGAGCCCGGGUUCGAUUCCCGG
This is a non-coding RNA of Agrilus planipennis (emerald ash borer), 58 nucleotides long. Lineage: Eukaryota; Metazoa; Arthropoda; Insecta; Coleoptera; Buprestidae. The record is from Rfam.